RNAcentral lists this transfer RNA (76 nucleotides) under Leucobacter sp. cx-169. RNAcentral describes it as "tRNA-Trp". It matches the Rfam family "tRNA". Rfam says of the family: Transfer RNA (tRNA) molecules are approximately 80 nucleotides in length. Lineage: Bacteria; Bacillati; Actinomycetota; Actinomycetes; Micrococcales; Microbacteriaceae. The record is from RNAcentral.
GGGGAUGUAGCUCAGCUGGAAGAGCAGCGGUCUCCAAAACCGCAGGCCGCAGGUUCGAACCCUGUCAGCCCCGCCA